Molecule: ribosomal RNA, 433 nt
Filed under: uncultured bacterium
Lineage: Bacteria
Description: partial 16S ribosomal RNA
Rfam family: Bacterial small subunit ribosomal RNA
Source: RNAcentral
AGCGAGCGCUGGCGGCAGGCCUAACACAUGCAAGUCGAACGAACUCUUCGGAGUUAGUGGCGGACGGGUGAGUAACACGUGGGAACGUGCCUUUUGGUUCGGAAUAACUCAGGGAAACUUGUGCUAAUACCGAAUGUGCCCUUCGGGGGAAAGAUUUAUCGCCAUUAGAGCGGCCCGCGUCUGAUUAGCUAGUUGGUGAGGUAACGGCUCACCAAGGCGACGAUCAGUAGCUGGUCUGAGAGGAUGACCAGCCACACUGGGACUGAGACACGGCCCAGACUCCUACGGGAGGCAGCAGCGGGGAAUCUUGCGCAAUGGGCGAAAGCCUGACGCAGCCAUGCCGCGUGAAUGAUGAAGGUCUUAGGAUUGUAAAAUUCUUUCACCGGGGACGAUAAUGACGGUACCCGGAGAAGAAGCCCCGGCUAACUUCGUG